UUGUGAGACACGUCAAAUUUCAUUUUUCCAAAGCGAACAAUUCUCAUGAUACACAAGUACGGAGCAGUAAUCAUCCCACUGGAAAAGUAAAGCAAAUGCCUUUUGAGGAUUUCUUUUUACAAUCUCCUUCAGAAAAUCUUGAAGAUGAUGAACCGAUGAAUUUUGCUAUGGAUUCUGCAAAAUCCGGAAGAUAUCACUGAAGAAAUAGCGAAUUCGAGGGAAUAACUUCCUGGAAUAAUGGAGGCGCAUAUAUUCCAGGAAAACAUUAUCACGUGCUAGUAGCUUUAAAAACAAAACCUUGAACAAAACUGUAAAAUAAGCAAAUAUUUGCAAGAGAAUGAGCAAAAAAUAGUUGAGGGAGAAUUACGUUGCAAUCAACUGAAAUCUUAUCUACGUGAAAGAAACUUGUCUUAAGCAAAUAUUUGCAAGAGAAUGAGCAAAAAAUAGUUGAGGGAGAAUUACGUUGCGAUCAACUGAAAUCUUAUCUACGUGAAAGAAACUUGCCUUCUACUGUAUGAAUCUCAAAGGAUGCUACAAGAAUAACUGAUCAGCCAAAGAAAUUAAAUUUCACUUCAAUGAAGAAAGAAUUGCCUCGUUAAUAUAUGUCAUUAUGGCACAACCCAUCGCAAAACAUACUGGUCCAUUUAGUCUAUCAUUAUUUGGUACUGAUAACAAGUUUACCUCAGAGGAUAUCAUCGCACGCUGAAAAUUCAUUCUUAAAGAACUAGUUAAAUUUGGAAUAAAUUUAUUCGGAUUUUCGUCAGAUGGCGACCUUCGUUUGUUAAAAGCAAUGCAUAUGGAAAUACAUUUAGAAAUUUCACAGAUGUACCUUAAACUCGAGUUUGACAUCAAAUCGACCGUGGUUCAAUGCUAUAUAUACUGACAAUAGUUUUGUACAAGAUACCAUACAGAUAGCUACAUAACUUAGAAACAGAUUAUUGAAACCUUCUAUUCUGUUAGCGUUCGGGAACAAAAUUAUUUCUGUAAGUCAUUUAAAAAUACUGAUAAAUAUUAUAUCCAAAG
This is a long non-coding RNA of Trachymyrmex septentrionalis, 1023 nucleotides long. RefSeq lists it as uncharacterized. The transcript is spliced from 3 exons. The record is from RefSeq and is a predicted model, not a curated record. Lineage: Eukaryota; Metazoa; Arthropoda; Insecta; Hymenoptera; Formicidae.